RNAcentral lists this ribosomal RNA (253 nucleotides) under uncultured bacterium. RNAcentral describes it as "partial 16S ribosomal RNA". It matches the Rfam family "Bacterial small subunit ribosomal RNA", at positions 524 to 776 of the family's 1533-position model. The record is from RNAcentral.
UACGUAGGGGGCAAGCGUUGUCCGGAAUCAUUGGGCGUAAAGAGCGUGUAGGCGGCUUGGUAAGUCCGCUGUGAAAGUCCAGGGCUCAACCCUGGAAUGCCGGUGGAAACUGUCAAGCCUGAGUCCGGAAGAGGCGAGUGGAAUUCCUGGUGUAGCGGUGAAAUGCGCAGAUAUCAGGAGGAACACCAGUGGCGAAGGCGACUCUUUGGCCUAUAACUGACGCUGAGGCGCGAAAGCGUGGGGAGCAAACAGG